GAGCGCACGCCGUUCUCGGGGUGUUCCGGCGUCGUAGUCGUGCACUUCUCCCCUAGUAGAACGUCGCGACCCGUUGCGUGUCGGUCUACGGCCCGAGCGGUAGCCUGUCCCGUCUCGCCUCGAGCGUGCGUGCGACAGACCCUCGGUCGCCCGGCCGGCUGCGCGACGGUACCCGCACGGUAUCGGGCCGCAGCGUUCCCUCUUUUUAAAGAGAGACGCGUGCGUCAGGCCCGUCGCAAGCUAGGUCAGUUCAAUACCCGGAGGUGUUUACGGACCCGGUGCCGUCCCCGGGCCUGUCCAGCUGUUGGCCGACGGUGUCCUCUGACUGUGUCCAUUAUCUUACCGGUCGGCGACGCUAUUGCUUUGGGUACUCUCAGGACCCGUCUUGAAACACGGACCAAGGAGUCUAACAUGUGCGCGAGUCAUUGGGAUCGAUGUAUCGAAACCUAAAGGCGGAAUGAAAGUGAAGGU
RNAcentral lists this ribosomal RNA (471 nucleotides) under Melitta budensis. RNAcentral's name for it is "eukaryotic LSU rRNA". Lineage: Eukaryota; Metazoa; Arthropoda; Insecta; Hymenoptera; Melittidae. The record is from RNAcentral.